UUUUGAGACAGAGUCUCGCUCUGUCACCCAGGCUGGAGUGCAGUGGCGUGAUCUCGGCUCAUUGCAACCUCCGCCUCCUGGGUUCAAGCAAUUCUCCUGCCUCAGCCUCCUGAGUAGCUGGGAUUACAGGCGCCCGCCACCACUCCCAGCUAAUUUUUGUAUUUUUAGUAGGGACGAGGUUUCACCAUGUUGGUCAGGCUGGUCUCAAACUCCUGACCUCGUGAUCUGCCCUCCUUGGCCUUCCAAAGUGCUGGGAUUACAGGCGUGAUGGAGAUGAUACUCCCUAAAUCACAAGGGUGUGGUGUGAAGAUGAAAUGGCUGCACGUGACAGAGGAGUUGGAGAACAGGAAGCAAGUGGAUUACUUGGAUGAACUGUGAUGGGCCCAAGAAGAACUAAGCCAAUCACUCCAGGGGGCGUUUUCCCAGGAUCCAGGCAGAGAGCUGAUUCCAGCAUCCACGUUGUAUCCCCCUCCCGCUGUGGCCGGGGUCUCCAAGAGCCGGGCACCCACUGCAGAGCUUCCAAGCCCAGGCCCAUUUGAACACAGGAGGACUUUUGAGGUUCAUUUAACCCCAAAAUCAGUGAUUCUACAUCUCAAGCUCAUAUUUUGAAGUGUUUACGGUCUCGAGCUCCAGUUCCCUGCCAGGAAGAGCUGAAGCUGAGCUCUGGCACCCCCUGCUUCUUCUCCCUCAUCCCUAAAACAUGUGGGGUACUGGGUGCCAAAGGAGAUCUGAAGAUGGCCACCACUCAGACCAGCAGUAGAGGCCAAGAAGGUGACCAGGGAUUUGCCAAUUAUUCUGGAUGGGCACAGGGAAGGGGCCCUCAGAUCCUGCAGAGGGAGCAUCUGAAAGACAAUGAGACCCUGUACACAACCAAGCUGAGCCUCCUCGUUGGUGCAUGCAUGGAUCCAGGAAGAGCAGCUGCCUUUGUGAUCCCGCGCCCCGGUCCUCGGCCUCUCACCUCCAGCGCCGGGGCGCCCCCUGCUGUCGGAAGCGGCUGUGACCGGGCAGAGGUGCUAUCUGGGACUCUGGGUUCUCAGCCCGGGGACAGCGAACCGAGGGGCAGAUGAUCCAUCAGAAAAGAGCCGGCACUGCCCAGCCCCGCGCCCCUGCCCCUGCCUUUUUCCGGGAGCGCGCCGCGCCGCACCCGCUACGGCCGCUUGACCCCAUCUUUGAGCCCGGCCCCAAGCUCUGGGACCGUCGUGCCCCUCAUCAAGGAAGAGCCAAGGACCCCAAGGAGAAGAGAAAGGAGUUCAUGAAGGCAGAAAUGCCUGGGGCCCACGAACAUCCCAGUGUGGCCCUGGACGGGACAUCAUGCUGGGCAACACAGCUAAAAUGCGGGUGAAGACCAGAUUUCUUGCACAUGGCGGUGACGGGAUGCUCCCUAGAGAGCUUCAAGUGGAUUCUUUGCUUUUUAUUUUCUCUCUUAAUAAAAAUGUAUGAUGUUUACAUUGUCAGAGAACAAACAGAACUGUGGCUUGUGUUUCA
Molecule: long non-coding RNA, 1485 nt
Filed under: Homo sapiens (human)
Lineage: Eukaryota; Metazoa; Chordata; Mammalia; Primates; Hominidae
Description: non-protein coding LINC00926:8
Source: RNAcentral